GUUCCCAGGACCUGCCAAUUCCUGUACAAGCCAGGAAAGUACCAGGCAAACCAGAACAGGAUCCUCGUAGAAAAUGCAUCCCAGUCUCUGAAGAACUGUUACAUCCACUGAGGACGGGGCAGAGCCCUUGGACCACUUCUUCCAAGCCAGCAUCGCCAAACAUGAUAAGGAGGUCUGCUGUACCAGAGGUACUGGUGCAACCCCCCACCCUGUGUUAAAGUUCUUCGGAGCGACAAAAUAUGAUGUGCAUACAUACAGGAAGAGAUUUAUUUCAAGGACUUGGCUCACAUAAUUGCAGAGGCUUGAUGAAGCUGAUGGGCGGGAGGUUCAGAAAAUAAGUUACCAUCUGAGUCGAAGGCAAUCUGCUAUAGAACCAGA
This 378-nucleotide long non-coding RNA is filed under the name Mustela putorius furo (domestic ferret). RNAcentral describes it as "lncRNA (ENSMPUG00000025005.1)". Lineage: Eukaryota; Metazoa; Chordata; Mammalia; Carnivora; Mustelidae. The record is from RNAcentral.